Molecule: ribosomal RNA, 439 nt
Filed under: uncultured bacterium
Lineage: Bacteria
Description: partial 16S ribosomal RNA
Rfam family: Bacterial small subunit ribosomal RNA
Source: RNAcentral
CUACGGGUUGCAGCAGUGAGGAAUAUUGCACAAUGGGGGAAACCCUGAUGCAGCAACGCCGCGUGGAGGAUGACGCAUUUCGGUGUGUAAACUCCUUUUAUGAGUCAAGAAAAUGACGGUAGCUCAUGAAUAAGCACCGGCUAACUCCGUGCCAGCAGCCGCGGUAAUACGGAGGGUGCAAGCGUUACUCGGAAUCACUGGGUGUAAAGGACGCGUAGGCGGGUUGUCAAGUCAGGUGUGAAAUCCUACAGCUUAACUGUAGAACUGCACUUGAAACUGGCAACCUAGAGUAUGGGAGGGGGAGAUGGAAUUAGUGGUGUAGGGGUAAAAUCCGUAGAUAUCACUAGGAAUACCGAAAGCGAAGGCGAUCUCCUGGAACAUUACUGACGCUAAGGCGUGAAAGCGUGGGGAGCAAACAGGAUUAGAUACCCGUGUAGUC